GACGAACGCUGGCGGCGUGCUUAACACAUGCAAGUCGAACGGUGAAGGGACCGGUUUUUGCUGGUUCUGGAUGAGUGGCGAACGGGUGAGUAACACGUGAGUAACCUGCCCCCUUCUUCUGGAUAACCGCAUGAAAGUGUGGCUAAUUCGGGAUAUUCUGCGCCUGCUGCAUGGUGGGUGUGGGAAAGAUAUUGUUUCGGUGGGGGAUGGGCUCGCGGCCUAUCAGCUUGUUGGUGGGGUGAUGGCCUACCAAGGCGGUGACGGGUAGCCGGCCUGAGAGGGUGGACGGUCACACUGGGACUGAGACACGGCCCAGACUCCUACGGGAGGCAGCAGUGGGGAAUAUUGCACAAUGGGCGCAAGCCUGAUGCAGCGACGCCGCGUGAGGGAUGGAGGCCUGCGGGUUGUAAACCUCUUUCGCCAGUGAAGCAGGCCUGUCCCUUGUGUGGGUGGGUUGACGGUAGCUGGAGAAGAAGCGCCGGCUAACUACGUG
This 493-nucleotide ribosomal RNA is filed under the name uncultured bacterium. RNAcentral describes it as "partial 16S ribosomal RNA". It matches the Rfam family "Bacterial small subunit ribosomal RNA", at positions 28 to 507 of the family's 1533-position model. The record is from RNAcentral.